RNAcentral lists this ribosomal RNA (437 nucleotides) under uncultured bacterium. RNAcentral's name for it is "bacterial SSU rRNA". It matches the Rfam family "Bacterial small subunit ribosomal RNA", at positions 355 to 816 of the family's 1533-position model. The record is from RNAcentral.
UGGGGAAUAUUGGACAAUGGGCGCAAGCCUGAUCCAGCCAUGCCGCGUGAGUGAAGAAGGCCUUCGGGUUGUAAAGCUCUUUUACCAGGGACGAUAAUGACGGUACCUGGAGAAUAAGCCCCGGCAAACUUCGUGCCAGCAGCCGCGGUAAUACGAAGGGGGCUAGCGUUGUUCGGAAUUACUGGGCGUAAAGCGCACGUAGGCGGAUUGUUAAGUCAGAGGUGAAAUCCCGGAGCUCAACUUCGGAACUGCCUUUGAUACUGGCAAUCUAGAGUCCGGAAGAGGUUAGUGGAAUUCCCAGUGUAGAGGUGAAAUUCGUAGAUAUUGGGAAGAACACCAGUGGCGAAGGCGGCUAACUGGUCCGGUACUGACGCUGAGGUGCGAAAGCGUGGGGAGCAAACAGGAUUAGAUACCCGGAGCGGGCUGGCAAGGCGCAU